RNAcentral lists this ribosomal RNA (253 nucleotides) under uncultured bacterium. RNAcentral describes it as "partial 16S ribosomal RNA". It matches the Rfam family "Bacterial small subunit ribosomal RNA", at positions 524 to 776 of the family's 1533-position model. The record is from RNAcentral.
UACGUAGGUGGCAAGCGUUGUCCGGAUUUAUUGGGUUUAAAGGGUGCGUAGGCGGUCUAUUAAGUCAGUUGUGAAAUACGGCAGCUCAACUGUCGAGGUGCAAUUGAUACUGAUGGACUUGAGUACUGAUGAGGUAAGCGGAAUGGACGGUGUAGCGGUGAAAUGCGUAGAUAUCUGGAGGAACACCGGUGGCGAAGGCGGCAUCCUGGACCGGCAUUGACGCUGAGGCGCGAAAGCCAGGGGAGCAAACGGG